Molecule: non-coding RNA, 87 nt
Filed under: Pseudomonas poae
Lineage: Bacteria; Pseudomonadati; Pseudomonadota; Gammaproteobacteria; Pseudomonadales; Pseudomonadaceae
Source: RNAcentral
GUGGGAGGGGGCUUGCCCCCGAUGGCGGCGUGUCAAUCAGCCCAUCUAUAACUGAUCCACCGCUAUCGGGGGCAAGCCCCCUCCCAC